Molecule: small nuclear RNA, 103 nt
Organism: Phyllostomus hastatus (greater spear-nosed bat)
Lineage: Eukaryota; Metazoa; Chordata; Mammalia; Chiroptera; Phyllostomidae
Source: RefSeq, a predicted model, not a curated record
GAGCCCGCCCUGGGCAGCACAUACACUGAAACUGGAAAUACAGAGAUCAGCACAGCCCUUGUGCAAGGAUGACAUGCAAAUGUGUGAAGCAUGUUCCAUAUUU